AAAUCCAGAUUUCGUAAAAAGGGGGGUGGGGCACAAAACAGGCUUAGUUAGGAAUAUGUGCAUUAAACUGUUAACCUAUAUGUAUCUCUUUAAGGUGUCCAGACCCCCUUCCCCUCAUUGUUCCGACUCUGAUAUUGUUGAUAGGAGCAAACAUUUAAUUCGGGGGGGGGGGGGGGGUCUUGUAUCCUCGUCUCAUGGGUUUUCGUGCUAUUAAGAAUGCUUUGUGACGUCGCUGUAAGACUUCAAAGCAAAAAAAUAAAAUAGCCUUUCAAGACGUCAUAAUUAAUUGGACUAUAGUAGUACCGUUGUAGUUCACUGAAUUUUCAGAAGAAACAGUCAGUCCAUCAUGUCUAUGCACACAUUUUAUUAAUGUAUGAAUCUUUGGUUUUGUUUGUGAAACAUCAUUGAGUUUUUAUUUACAUUCUGUAUAGGUAACAGUAUUCGUCCCUGUACAUAAAAUCAUAGUUUCAUGUAUUUUAACUUUGCAAGAAAUAAGAUCCCAAUGGCCCAUAGUGCAACAUCUUUUACACAUAUAAACACUGAAAUUAUAGUUACACUACAUUUGUUAAAGAGAAACUAAGAAUACCAAAAGAACAUUCAAAAUCAUAAGUUGAAAAUAAACUGACAAUACCAAAGGAUCAUUCAAACUCGUAAGUCAAAAAUUAACCGACAAGUUAUUAAUAUAUUUUAUUUAAACCUUUAAAUAAAUUUAAUAAUUUGUUUGUAUGUAUUUAUAGGACUGUGACACAGUAGUGGGAAUGAAAUCCCUAGAAUAUAGAUCAAAUCGAAGAAAAGAUCAGAUAUAAAACAAUGAAGAAAGAAAAGGAUGACUUAAUUUCAAAAGCAGAUUUUACAAAUGUUCACCUGACAACCAAGAGCCUUUAUCAUUCAAAAGAAGAUAGUUCCGUAAUGAACAAUUCCUGUAUGAUAGGAGAUGGACUGACUAUUUCUGUUUUGUUGAGGAUAAAAUUCAUGUGAUUUUACAUUUUCCUGUUAAUGACUAUAUAUGGCAAAUUCUCUUUAUUAAAUCUAUUAACACUUAUGAAAUUGGUGAUGAAAAUGUUAUAAUUUUUCAAGGGAAAAUAAUGUAAACUUGUUAUUGUUUCUCAUAAAUCUGUACAGAUUAUAUCAAGAUUUAUAAUUGUAUUUUUUGUUUGCUUUAAGUGAGACUUUUAAAUAAAAUAUUGAAAUAA
This is a long non-coding RNA of Mytilus californianus (California mussel), 1193 nucleotides long. RefSeq lists it as uncharacterized. NCBI's taxonomy places the organism in Eukaryota, Metazoa, Mollusca, Bivalvia, Mytilida, Mytilidae. The transcript is spliced from 2 exons. The record is from RefSeq and is a predicted model, not a curated record.